AACGAACGCUGGCGGCAGGCCUAACACAUGCAAGUCGAGCGAGCAUUUCGGUGCUAGCGGCGGACGGGUGAGUAACGCGUGGGAACGUGCCCUUUUCUGCGGAAUAGUCCUGGGAAACUGGGGGUAAUACCGCAUACGCCCUUUUGGGGAAAGAUUUAUCGGAGAAGGAUCGGCCCGCGUUGGAUUAGGUAGUUGGUGGGGUAAUGGCCCACUAAGCCGACGAUCCAUAGCUGGUUUGAGAGGAUGAUCAGCCACACUGGGACUGAGACACGGCCCAGACUCCUACGGGAGGCAGCAGUGGGGAAUCUUAGACAAUGGGGGCAACCCUGAUCGAGCCAUGCCGCGUGAGUGAUGAAGGCCUUAGGGUUGUAAAGCUCUUUCAGCUGGGAAGAUAAUGACGGUACCAGCAGAAGAAGCCCCGGCUAACUCCGUG
This 433-nucleotide ribosomal RNA is filed under the name uncultured bacterium. Its description in RNAcentral is "partial 16S ribosomal RNA". It matches the Rfam family "Bacterial small subunit ribosomal RNA", at positions 29 to 507 of the family's 1533-position model. The record is from RNAcentral.